Molecule: long non-coding RNA, 957 nt
Organism: Saccostrea cuccullata (small rock oyster)
Lineage: Eukaryota; Metazoa; Mollusca; Bivalvia; Ostreida; Ostreidae
Exons: 3
Source: RefSeq, a predicted model, not a curated record
GAGAGACGGUAAAACUGAAACCCGAGUGGAGAAAAAGGUUGUGAUUUCGCAGGAAGAAAACGGGGAUGAUAUUGACCACGACGCGCUGCUAGCGGAGGCCAUUAAGUCAGUAACGGAGAUGAACCCUGACCUGUCCGUGGAGAGGAUUGAGUGUAUGAGGCAGAUGGAGGAAGUGGACGGAAGGUACUAGGUUAGAUUUCGGUGUUCGUUAACCUCUGUACAGGUAUAGCCAGUUAUCAGUGCCUAUUACGUCUCCAGUCCUCUCCUGCCUGCCUUUGCGUCUCCUUUUUUUGCUUUUGAAGGACGAUAAAGACAGCGGACCCACUGGUCACUUUGACAGACUAUAGGAAAUAUUGCAAUAAAUUAACGUGUAUGUGGCAUAAAAAUCAUGUUUCAUGUGUCAUAUUUAAUUUGUUUCAUUUGACAUUAUAUCAAGAGACUUUCUGCCAGCAGAUAAUUUAAGGUCGUGUGUCUCUGACCUUUUUGUACUGAAGUCGGUUGCCAUGUGAUGGGAUCAGAUUGUCACACCUUACUUCUCCCGGGCUGAGAGAUUAUAAUGGCAGCUAUAGGGACUCAUUUCUUAUUUGAUGUUUAAUCUCAUUGGCAUUUUAAGUCAUCUUUUAAUGGAUGCAGAGAAAAUGUUUUUUGCAAAAUGCUACAUAGCUAGAUAAGGUUUGUUAAGAUUUUUUUUAUUUGCUGAAUGCUUUAUUUAUAUAAAUGAUAUGACUCUCUGACACUGUUUAUCUUAAAAAGAUUAUACUUUUAUGAAGACAGAUUAUGUGUCUGUGCAAGGUUGUCCAAUUUUAUUGCUUAUGUUGCUAUUUUUAAGUCCAGACUGUAGAGCUGCAGUCCGAUCAGAGACUUCUGCUUUUAAGUCCUAGACUAAAAUUUUAUGUAGAUCAUCUUUUUAUACAUGUAUAGAGAUAAAAUUCAUUUCAAUAAAAUCAACAUUUUUAA